Molecule: long non-coding RNA, 498 nt
Organism: Bombus terrestris (buff-tailed bumblebee)
Lineage: Eukaryota; Metazoa; Arthropoda; Insecta; Hymenoptera; Apidae
Exons: 3
Source: RefSeq, a predicted model, not a curated record
UAUAUAUAUAUAUAUAUAUAUAUAUAUAUAUAUAGAGAGAGAGAGAUAGAGAAUGUUACAAGGAAGUAAUCUAAAACUUCGUAAAUUUGUAGUACAUGUUUAAUGAGAGAAGUACAAAAUAUCUGAUAAGCGUAGAUCCAAAAAUUAAUCCUAUUUAUUUGAUAUACCGUACUUUUUAUUUAACAUUUAAAUCGAACGUUUAAAUCGAACCCUCGAUAGAAUAGAUAGAAUAAACGUGUCCAAUAAAAUAAUCUCCUCCAUCAUCUGAUUUGAAUUCAACGAAUUUUUUUUUAUGAAUACACAUAGAGAGAAAUCUACCUAUUGUGGACACACGUACAAAUCAAUAAAUAAUGCAUGUCGUGCAAUAUCGGCUACAGAAGGAAUAAAUAGAGAAUUAUGUAUUAUCCACAGAUGGCAGUUAUACAGUGACUACGAAAGGAUUUGAUUUGAAAUAUAAAAGCUGAUAGGAAAACGGUUCAUUGGAAAAUAUGGACACGC